RNAcentral lists this long non-coding RNA (432 nucleotides) under Rattus norvegicus (Norway rat). RNAcentral's name for it is "long non-coding RNA NONRATT019437". Lineage: Eukaryota; Metazoa; Chordata; Mammalia; Rodentia; Muridae. The record is from RNAcentral.
UACCGAGGUUUCUGUAACGCUUAUCUAGAUCCAGAGGCUCUACAGGCACAGCAGCUCAACAGAAAAGAUGAGUGAGGAAUCCAAUGAUGACAAGAAGCCAACGACCAAGUUUGAACUAGAGCGAGAAACAGAGCUUCGAUUUGAGGUGGAGGCAUCUCAGUCAGUUCAGUUGGAGUUGCUGGCUGGCAUGGCAGAGAUCUUUGGCACAGAACUGACCAGAAACAAGAAAUUCACCUUUGAUGCUGGUGCCAAGGUGGCUGUUUUCACUUGGCAUGGCUGUUCUCUGCAAUUACAUCUCGUUUAGCAGAUGUGUUCAACCAAAGGUGUGAAGUGAAUAGAAGAGCUUCUGUGAGUGGCUGUGUCAUCAACACCUGUGGCUGGGUCAAGGGUUAUGGUUACCAGGCCCUGGUGCACGCAGCUUCAGCCUUUGAG